This 253-nucleotide ribosomal RNA is filed under the name uncultured bacterium. RNAcentral describes it as "partial 16S ribosomal RNA". It matches the Rfam family "Bacterial small subunit ribosomal RNA", at positions 524 to 776 of the family's 1533-position model. The record is from RNAcentral.
UACGUAGGGCGCAAGCGUUGUCCGGAAUUAUUGGGCGUAAAGAGCUUGUAGGCGGUUUGUCGCGUCUGCCGUGAAAGCCCAGGGCUUAACCCUGGGUCUGCGGUGGGUACGGGCAGACUAGAGUGUGGUAGGGGAGACUGGAAUUCCUGGUGUAGCGGUGAAAUGCGCAGAUAUCAGGAGGAACACCGGUGGCGAAGGCGGGUCUCUGGGCCGAUACUGACGCUGAGGAGCGAAAGCGUGGGGAGCGAACAGG